Molecule: non-coding RNA, 306 nt
Organism: Misgurnus anguillicaudatus (oriental weatherfish)
Lineage: Eukaryota; Metazoa; Chordata; Actinopteri; Cypriniformes; Cobitidae
Source: RefSeq, a predicted model, not a curated record
CGCAGAGAGAUACUUUACCUCUUUUCGAUCAAAAUAUUGAUACAAUUUAGAUUAUUCAAGAGAUCUUACGAAAUAUUGAACAACAAUGAUGUCUAUAAAUGUGUCACAAUGAAGGAUGGAGUUCAUUUACCCAAAGGGUUGGCAGGCUGUUUCCGACGUAAAUGCGUGACAUGCAAUUCUGGCUGCUCAACUCGGAUGUCGGAUCUCCUCAGCUGAUAAAAGAAGUCAUACAUCUGAGAUGGCAUGAGGGUGAGUAAAUUAUAUUUUUUAAUUAACCAUGUCACAUGUUGGAUGGGUAGCCCUGCC